This is an RNA transcript of Erigeron canadensis, 1896 nucleotides long. RefSeq lists it as uncharacterized. NCBI's taxonomy places the organism in Eukaryota, Viridiplantae, Streptophyta, Magnoliopsida, Asterales, Asteraceae. The transcript has 5 exons. The record is from RefSeq and is a predicted model, not a curated record.
GUUGCAUUUUAAAGCCCUAGACCGCAUCGCAAGCCCCUUUUCUCCCCAACCCCAAAUCGCCACCUCCAAUCACCACCCACGUCCACCACCAUCUGCCUACGUCUGCCAUAAUCACCACCCACAUCGGCCACCACGUUUCUCCCACUCCAAAUUGCUCCCAUCAUCAGUACCUAGGUCGGCACCAAUUGCAUCGCCAGCAUCACUAGCCACUUCCUCCACCACUCUCCAUCCCAAAUCGUUGUGUGUUGUAUUUAGCAUGUCAUUCUAAGUGAUCAAGGAUCAUAGCAAAUUCUUUAGGACUGGGGACUUGGUUGGACGUGGUGCUUGGAAUUCAGUGGGUCAUAGGAGGAAAUUCACAUGGAGGCUUGAAAAUCGUUUAGGGUGGAAGGAUCUACUUUAAAAGGGAAAGAAAAUUGGAUUUUGUAUCAAAAGCAAGAAGGUUCAAUUUGGGAAUCAUGUCGCCUUAUAGUUUACUCUCGAGGAGAGACUGAGCCACCUUGUCAUUUACCUAUUUUCCUAGAAGUCACAAAUUUACAAAAUACUAAUAGUUACUGGGUUUGUUUUAUGAGCUAUCAUUUUUCAGUUGUCAGCCAAAAGGUGCAGGACGAAUCCGUUACAAAGGAAUCACAAAAUCACUAUUUGAAAUGUGCAAAACUGGAUGCUUCAGUGAGCAUGUGUGUGAAGGAAAAACAAAAAGCUACGUUAUUUCCAAUACAUAUAGAAGAUACAACUCAUAAGCAAGUAGUUACCAAUGGGGAAAACAAGCAUUGGUCAUGGUUGUGGGAGGAAACGCAUAAAUAUAUGAUAUUUACAGAAGUAUAGGUUGCAGACAAACUUUUUGAGUUUUGUGACUUUCAAGUUGCAAAAGAAACCGAUGUAUACAGCUAGUCCUGCUAGUUACUUUGAGGAGACAAUGACUUUUUGGUGUAUGGAAGUGGUGAUCAGUGGUCUGCUUUGCUGUAAAGAUCAUUGAUGUCACCAUUGGAGCAGACCGUUUUAAUUCUUUAACGUCGCACGAGCCACACUUUCCCCGACCCCUAAAAACAGAUAAUGGAAGAAGAAAGUCAAGAAGCUCCACCACCUAAGGAAUACAUUUCGUCUUCGUUGACUUUGAGGACUAGAAUGAACAUAGUUAAUGAAAUUGCAAGGGCUCUUACACCAAGACAGAAAGAAUUGUUUCAGGGUACUUGUUUUGGCCCAUGGUUGCAAUUACAACAAACGAGAGGAGACCCAGCUUUGACUCAUCUAUUUUUGCAAUUACAACCAAUCGGGAUCCAACGUGGUGAACAGGAGUUCUGGUUCUAUUUUCCACCAUUUCACUAUGCUCGAUUUGGACGUGAAGAGUUUUGCUUAGUGACCGGCCUACGGUUCGGGCGUCAUGACUCAUUCGGUCCAUACAUCCAGAAUAUCCACGGCCCAUUAUGGGUAUUUAAUGUUUUUCCAGGCUACAAUAGGGGUGGUGAAGGUCUGAAAGUGUCUGAUUUCGAGAAAGUGUUGCAAGAAGGUCCUUCAGGUAGGUUGAGUGAUAUUGAUUUUGUUCGACUAUGCGUUAUAUUGCUUGUCGAGGUCGGCUUUACUGGAAAACAAUCAACCCAACUUGUUAGUCCCGAUAUGUUAUCAUUGGCUGAAAAUAUGGAAGCAUGGAACAUGUUUCCAUGGGGUUCAUACCUCUGGUGAAAGGUAUAUGAACAACUAUCCGGUAGUCAGGCAAAGCUUAAGGAAGCAGAGGGCCGUAAAUACACUUAUUUAUAAGUGAUAGAUAUACUUAUUUAUAUUGGUAUAUGUAUUCUUAAUAUUGAUGGAGAUUAUGCCGAUUGAUGAUGUAAGUGAUAGAUAUACUUAUUUAUAUUGGUAUAUGUAUUCUUAAUAUUUGAAGUCGACUUAGAAUAUAUUGUU